RNAcentral lists this transfer RNA (77 nucleotides) under Brevundimonas sp. RNAcentral describes it as "tRNA-Lys". It matches the Rfam family "tRNA". From Rfam's summary of the family: Transfer RNA (tRNA) molecules are approximately 80 nucleotides in length. The record is from RNAcentral. Lineage: Bacteria; Pseudomonadati; Pseudomonadota; Alphaproteobacteria; Caulobacterales; Caulobacteraceae.
GCGUCCCUAGCUCAGUUGGUUAGAGCACCUGACUUUUAAUCAGGGGGUCCUGGGUUCGAGCCCCAGGGGACGUACCA